This 70-nucleotide transfer RNA is filed under the name Tettigades ulnaria. RNAcentral describes it as "tRNA-Val". The record is from RNAcentral. Lineage: Eukaryota; Metazoa; Arthropoda; Insecta; Hemiptera; Cicadidae.
CUGACUAGAGCUUUAAGUUUAAGCACUUUAUUUACACUAAUGAGAAUGUUGUUAAAUCAACAUAGUCUGA